AACGCACAUUGCGCCCUUUGGUAUUCCGAAGGGCAUGCCUGUUCGAGCGUCAUUUCGACCAUCAAGCAAAGCUUGGUAUUGGGUUUGGUCAUUAGACCUUUCCGAAACUCCUAGGCGAUGCGACCAAAGUCCUCGACGUAGCAAUGUCAUCGUCAAUGGUCUUUGGGUGCUUCCGCCAGAAAACAAACCUUUUGAAUUUUGACCUCGGAUCAGGUAGGAAUACCCGCUGAACUUAA
Molecule: unclassified non-coding RNA, 236 nt
Filed under: uncultured fungus
Lineage: Eukaryota; Fungi
Description: sequence contains ITS2
Rfam family: 5.8S ribosomal RNA (bases 1-52)
Source: RNAcentral